GACGAACGCUGGCGGCGUGCUUAACACAUGCAAGUCGAACGGAAAGGCCCUGCUUUUGUGGGGUGCUCGAGUGGCGAACGGGUGAGUAACACGUGAGUAACCUGCCCUUGACUUUGGGAUAACUUCAGGAAACUGGGGCUAAUGCCGGAUAGGAGCUCCUGCUGCAUGGUGGGGGUUGGAAAGUUUCGGCGGUUGGGGAUGGACUCGCGGCUUAUCAGCUUGUUGGUGGGGUAGUGGCUUACCAAGGCUUUGACGGGUAGCCGGCCUGAGAGGGUGACCGGCCACAUUGGGACUGAGAUACGGCCCAGACUCCUACGGGAGGCAGCAGUGGGGAAUAUUGCACAAUGGGCGGAAGCCUGAUGCAGCAACGCCGCGUGCGGGAUGUCGGCCUUCGGGUUGUAAACCGCUUUCGCCUGUGACGAAGCGUGAGUGACGGUAAUGGGUAAAGAAGCACCGGCUAACUACGUG
RNAcentral lists this ribosomal RNA (468 nucleotides) under uncultured bacterium. RNAcentral describes it as "partial 16S ribosomal RNA". It matches the Rfam family "Bacterial small subunit ribosomal RNA", at positions 28 to 507 of the family's 1533-position model. The record is from RNAcentral.